UACAGAGGUCUCAAGCGUUGUUCGGAUUCAUUGGGCGUAAAGGGUGCGUAGGCGGCGCGGUAAGUCGGGUGUGAAAUCUCGGGGCUUAACUCCGAAACUGCAUUCGAUACUGCCGUGCUUGAGGACUGGAGAGGAGACUGGAAUUUACGGUGUAGCGGUGAAAUGCGUAGAUAUCGUAAGGAAGACCAGUGGCGAAGGCGGGGUCUCUGGACAGUUCCUGACGCUGAGGCGCGAAAGCCAGGGGGAGCAAACGGG
Molecule: ribosomal RNA, 255 nt
Filed under: uncultured bacterium
Lineage: Bacteria
Description: partial 16S ribosomal RNA
Rfam family: Bacterial small subunit ribosomal RNA
Source: RNAcentral